AAUGCUUCAACAUUUUGUCCAGCAAUCUAAACAAACGAAUCUCCCCGCCUUCGGAGUAAAAAGUUUCGUUAGUCACUAAACUUAGUACAAUGUCAUGUUGUAGUCACUGAACUUUGUUUUGCUGUUGAAUGCUCACUGAACUUACAAACCCAUCUCUCCAUCCAUCACUCCCCAAAAAGCCGUUUGAAAUUGUCUGAUCUGGCUUGAUGGAAUUCCACGUGGCAUUCAAUGGUGUCAAAACUGAUUCACGGUGGACGUGUGUUUCAGAAUACACGAUUUUAUUCCAUUCAAAGCUGAAACCCAAUUUCCCCAAUUCACUAUCCCUGCCUCGCAUGAACCCUAAUUCAAUUUCCCGCACUUCAAAACAUCUGGAUCGAACACAUAGUCGCUUGCCAGAAGUUCUUCGCCUUCUAAUGUACACCAUCCCUAGCUGUAGGUGGUUUUCAAUCCAUAAACUUUGAACCACAUCCCAGUUACAUAAACGUUCAAAACGCGAUGGAGGAAACUACAAGAGCCCAACCAACCGUGAACGGUGAAGGUAAUCUCCUUAAUUCUCAUUAAUUGGUGUGAAGAAUAUGUAAUUGACACUCUUGAAUGACCGAAUUUUUGUUCAAAUUAGCUAGCUGCAUAAAAUCGAGGAGAAUUGUGAGAUUUUUGUUCGUUCAGGUUGUUUGAAUAAUUUCUCAUUGAAAGCACUUUGAAUUUGGGUUCACCCACUAAGCAUUUUUGAAAUUGGAUGCUGAAAAUGAAGUGAUCUCCAUUAAUUCAUCUUGUUAGAGAAUGCUCAAAAUGAUAUGCUGGUCAUUGUUUUAUUUUGUUUGGGUCUGAAAAUGAACUAAUAGUCGUAGUUGUGAUAGGAAAUUAUUGAAUUAGCGUUGCAGACAUUAUUAUGUUGCUGAUUACAUUGUAUAAUUUCUGUACACAUCAACUGAGUACUUUUAAUUUCUUCAUGAAAUCUGUUCUAUAUUAUACAUUACGGGUCGAUUUUGUUUGUUUGAUUUUAUAGGGUAAACUGAUAGGUGCAAGAGGGAAGGGCUCACCGAGCGAUAACGUGCGUGAAGAACAUCAAAUGCUGUGAAGAUUUUGUCAAUUGAACAGAAUGGCUGAUUAAUACUUGAACCGAAUGGCAGCUUCUUGGGGCUCAUUUGCUGUGAAGAUUUUGUCAAUUGAAAUUGGAAAAUUUUUGUUUUGUAUGUUAAAUGUCAGCAUAUAUUAGAACCUUUCUUUUGAUUCACAAUUGGUGUCUUGUAAUGAGAGCGAAGUGUUGCAUGUUUGUAAAACUUUCUUUUGACAUCUCAUUUGGAGUCUAUAUGUUUUGUUAAUGUAUUUUAGAUGUCCUCCAAUGGAUUUUGUAAUCUUUUGUAAGUUUGUUGCUGGCAGUAAAUUUUAAACUUUUGACAAGGCAUUGUGAAUUGGGUGUAGGCCUUUUGAUGAUGGGAUAUCAAUGAAAUACACUGGUUUUUGUCCAUGGCAAUAUUCCUGUUAUUUAGAACUUCUAAGUUUGUUGCUGGCUGUACAUUUUAAACUUUUGACAGGGCAAUUUUUGUAUGCCCACAUCAC
This 1560-nucleotide long non-coding RNA is filed under the name Olea europaea subsp. europaea. Lineage: Eukaryota; Viridiplantae; Streptophyta; Magnoliopsida; Lamiales; Oleaceae. The record is from RNAcentral.